Molecule: long non-coding RNA, 1029 nt
Filed under: Macaca fascicularis (crab-eating macaque)
Lineage: Eukaryota; Metazoa; Chordata; Mammalia; Primates; Cercopithecidae
Description: lncRNA (ENSMFAG00000030109.2)
Source: RNAcentral
GAGGAUGUUUUCAGUCCCCAGCAAGGUCAUGAGGGCCUUGACAUUUCUUGGUUAGGCCGGCUUUGCUGGUGAGUUUUUCCAAACUCUGCAGGAGCAGUCUACCCCAACACACAUCUCAGUCCCAUGUAAAUUAAUAAGAUGGAAACGUUCUCAAUGUACUUCAUCAGUUUAGCACGUCUCUGAUACAAAAAUCCAAGAAAGGUACCACAAAAGCGAAAGCACCAACCAAGCUUACAUAUAAACAAACAUGCAUACAUCCUAAAUACUACACAAUAGUACCCAAAUGAAUACAACAUUGCAUUAAAGGUAUAAAAGCACUGUACUGAAAACGUAAAAGUUACACGUGAAUACUGCACUGUAAAUCCUGAACACUCUAAUGACCCACCCCCACCCUUCCACAGCCCUGGUGAGGAUCAGAAAGCAUUCAUCUGCCUCCAGACUUGGCUAGUCCUCGGAGACACUGCUGCGAGGGCAGUGGGCAGCGGGAUUAGCCUCCCGCAGAGCUCUGGCCUCCUCUAGAGCCUCUCUGUAUCGGGAGGGCCAGGCCUGGGGGUCUUUCUUAAAGACCCUGGCCAGGAACUCCAUGAUUUGCAGCUUGGUGAUUUCGCGGCUGGCCCGGGAGCCCCAGAAGAACUCGUACUCGGGCGGCUCCACGUACGGGACGCGCUGGUACUUCAGGUAAUUCUGCUGGACGAACUCCUCAGUGAUAAGCUUCCGCACGUCCCCGAAGGUGGAGUGCUUCUUCCAGGGCCGCAGCCCCAGGAUGCGGAGCACGUUCCAGACCGCGCUCUCUCUGGCGCCGCGGCCCUUCACGUAGAUGAGGCUCAGGAUCAUGAGGAGGAGACCUGUCAUGGGCAUGCGGUUGCUCAGCGCCACCCUGUCCAGCUCCUCGGGCUCCAGCGCUUUGACCAGCGCAAACUCCAUGGUGUGCAGGCUGGUUAGCCUCAGGUGCAGCCCGAACACCCGGGCGAGGAUGAGGCUGGUACGCCGGAGGAUGCUCCUGCACCACUUCUUGUAGCUGCCGAUGAC